AAUUCAGGUAUUAAUGAGUGUGUUAGGAUGUGAAUUUGCACAUCCUACACAUCAUUGAGGUGGAUUUAAUUCCCUCUGAGAUCUCUGAUGACCACACUCCAGUCUGGUAGGUGGCGGUAAAUGCACCUUAAGUUGGAUGCCAGCCGCCAAUAAAAAACAAAAGAAGAAGAAGAAGAAGAAGAAGAAGAACAGGAAGAAGAGCACAC
Long non-coding RNA from Xiphophorus hellerii (green swordtail), 206 nucleotides. RefSeq lists it as uncharacterized. The transcript has 3 exons. The record is from RefSeq and is a predicted model, not a curated record. Lineage: Eukaryota; Metazoa; Chordata; Actinopteri; Cyprinodontiformes; Poeciliidae.